Molecule: ribosomal RNA, 328 nt
Filed under: uncultured Terrimonas sp.
Lineage: Bacteria; Pseudomonadati; Bacteroidota; Chitinophagia; Chitinophagales; Chitinophagaceae
Description: bacterial SSU rRNA
Rfam family: Bacterial small subunit ribosomal RNA
Source: RNAcentral
AGCGCAGGCGGAUUUGUAAGUCAGUGGUGAAAGGCUUAAGCUUAACUUGGGAACUGCCAUUGAUACUAUAAGUCUUGAAUGUUGUUGAGGUUUGCGGAAUGGGUCAUGUAGCGGUGAAAUGCAUAGAUAUGACCCGGAACACCUAUUGCGAAGGCAGCAGGCUAAACAAAUAUUGACGCUGAGGCUCGAAAGCGUGGGGAUCAAACAGGAUUAGAUACCCUGGUAGUCCACGCCCUAAACUAUGAUUACUCGACAUACGCGAUACACUGUGUGUGUCUGAGCGAAAGCAUUAAGUAAUCCACCUGGGAAGUACGACCGCAAGGUUGAA